GUCGGGACUCGGGUUAGUUAGUACGUUAUCAGUCUUGUGGUAGCAGGAACGUAAGAUAUCCAAAUAGUCCUGUGAAUGGUUCUGUAUAUAGCUGGACCUAGACUAACUGAAUUUUGUCAUCUGAUGUGGGGUUUAUUCCACCGACCUCCAACAUGAACGCUAAACUCGGUAAUAUGAAGGGAACAGCGAACGGUCUUGCCCAUGGUGAAAGAGGCAAGGUAAUUUCGGUUCGUCAAGAGGGUUCCAGGGGAAACCAGAAUCAGCCAUAUAAUGUUCCUUGGUAUUGUACUGCGUUGUUUUUGACUUAAGGCAAACAUCGUUACUACUCUAAUGGUGUUCAGUGAAGGAAUGGAUAUGAAAAUUAUUCUUGGCUUUUAAUUAAAAUUUUGUACAAUGUAAAAGAAUUUAAAUUGCCUUCAAUGUUUCAUGGU
Molecule: long non-coding RNA, 431 nt
Organism: Macrobrachium nipponense
Lineage: Eukaryota; Metazoa; Arthropoda; Malacostraca; Decapoda; Palaemonidae
Exons: 3
Source: RefSeq, a predicted model, not a curated record